AUAUCUAUUCAAAUGAUGACCCGGAUUAACUAUCCUGUUGUCUAGUCACUUUACCCUACCUACAGUAUACUGCUGUUACUGUCUAUUAUCUAUCCUUUACCCCUACCUACAGUAUACUGCUGUUACUGUCUAUUAUCUAUCCUUUACCCCUACCUACAGUAUACUGCUGUUACUGUCUAUUAUCUAUCCUUUACCCCUACCUACAGAAUACUGCUGUUACUGUCUAUUAUCUAUCCUUUACCCCUACCUACAGUAUACUGCUGUUACUGUUGAUUAUCUAUCCUUUACCCCUACCUACAGUAUACUGCUGUUACUGUCUAUUAUCUAUCCUUUACCCCUACCUACAGUAUACUGCUGUUACUGUCUAUUAUCUAUCCUUUACCCCUACCUACAGUAUACUGCUGUUACUGUCUAUUAUCUAUCCUUUACCCCUACCUACAGUAUACUGCUGUUACUGUCUAUUAUCUAUCCUUUACCCCUACCUACAGUAUACUGCUGUUACUGUCUAUUAUCUAUCCUUUACCCCUACCUACAGUAUACUGCUGUUACUGUCUAUUAUCUAUCCUUUACCCCUACCUACAGUAUACUGCUGUUACUGUCUAUUAUCUAUCCUUUACCCCAACCUACAGUAUACUGCUGUUACUGUCUAUUAUCUAUCCUUUACCCUACCUACAGUAUACUGCUGUUACUGUCUAUUAUCUAUCCUUUACCCCUACCUACAGUAUAUUGCUGUUACUGUCUAUUAUCUAUCCUUUACCCCUACCUACAGUAUACUGCUGUUACUGUCUAUUAUCUAUCCUUUACCCCUACCUACAGUAUACUGCUGUUACUGUCUAUUAUCUAUCCUGUUGCCUAGUCACUUUACCCCUACCUAUAUGUAUAUAGCUACCUCAAUUACCUCGUACCUCUGCACAUCGACUCAGUACUGUAUAUAGCCAUGUUAUUACCUGGUACUUCCUGUAUAUAGCCAUGCUAUUACCUGGUACUUCCUGUAUAUAGCCAU
RNAcentral lists this long non-coding RNA (1003 nucleotides) under Salmo trutta (river trout). RNAcentral's name for it is "lncRNA (ENSSTUG00000022778.1)". The record is from RNAcentral. Lineage: Eukaryota; Metazoa; Chordata; Actinopteri; Salmoniformes; Salmonidae.